RNAcentral lists this transfer RNA (71 nucleotides) under Paramuricea clavata. It matches the Rfam family "tRNA". From Rfam's summary of the family: Transfer RNA (tRNA) molecules are approximately 80 nucleotides in length. Their secondary structure includes four short double-helical elements and three loops (D, anti-codon, and T loops). Lineage: Eukaryota; Metazoa; Cnidaria; Anthozoa; Malacalcyonacea; Plexauridae. The record is from Rfam by way of RNAcentral.
GCGUUGGUGGUUCAGUGGUAGAAUUCUCGCCUGCCACGCGGGAGACUGGGGUUCGAUUCCCCGCCAACGCA